RNAcentral lists this unclassified non-coding RNA (201 nucleotides) under Hevea brasiliensis (rubber tree). Lineage: Eukaryota; Viridiplantae; Streptophyta; Magnoliopsida; Malpighiales; Euphorbiaceae. The record is from RNAcentral.
UGAAUAGAAGGCAUUAAUUUACAUCAUAUCUGCUUGCCAGAAAUGGUGCAGUGUGCCUACAAGCAUGGAUUGGCGAAUUCAUGCAAAAUGUCAUUUGGCAUGCAAUACAUGUUAUUACACUGUUGAACUUUGGAUCAUACCAUGAUAAAGCUUCCAAGUAAUCUUUUACUUUGUUAGAAUGACUACAGCAAUAUCCAUUGA